UGCACUUAGGUAUGUUUUUGUUUAACUUGUGGACAAAAGACUUAUGGAUAGGUGUAAAAAAUAAAUCCUCUCUUUCAACUGAGAACUCAUUGUUCAGUAUGAGUUUUGAUACAUAUAAGAAGGGAUAUU
Molecule: small nucleolar RNA, 129 nt
Organism: Aotus nancymaae (Ma's night monkey)
Lineage: Eukaryota; Metazoa; Chordata; Mammalia; Primates; Aotidae
Source: Ensembl